UGGGGAAUUUUGCACAAUGGGGGAAACCCUGAUGCAGCGACGCCGCGUGAUUUAGAAGGCCUUCGGGUUGUAAAAAUCUUUUCUAUGGGAAGAAAAUGACAGUACCAUAGGAAUAAGGACCGGCUAAUUACGUGCCAGCAGCCGCGGUAAUACGUAAGGUCCGAGCGUUGUCCGGAAUCAUUGGGCGUAAAGGGUACGUAGGCGGGUAAGCAAGUUAGAAGUGAAAUCCUAUAGCUCAACUAUAGUAAGCUUUUAAAACUGCUCAUCUUGAUGUAUUGAAGGGAAAGUGGAAUUCCUAGUGUAGCGGUGAAAGGCGCAGAUAGUAGGAUGAAUACCGGUGGCUAAGGCGACUUUCUGGCCAUAACCUGACGCUGAGGUACGAAAGCGUGGGUAGCAAACAGG
Molecule: ribosomal RNA, 402 nt
Filed under: bacterium
Lineage: Bacteria
Description: partial 16S ribosomal RNA
Rfam family: Bacterial small subunit ribosomal RNA
Source: RNAcentral